UACGGAGGGUGCAAGCGUUAUCCGGAUUCACUGGGUUUAAAGGGUGCGUAGGUGGGUCUGUAAGUCCGUGGUGAAAUCUCCAAGCUUAACUUGGAAACCGCCGUGGAUACUAUAGAUCUUGAAUAUUGUGGAGGUAAGCGGAAUAUGUCAUGUAGCGGUGAAAUGCUUAGAUAUGACAUAGAACACCGAUAGCGAAGGCAGCUUGCUACACAAUCAUUGACACUGAGGCACGAAAGCGUGGGGAUCAAACAGG
RNAcentral lists this ribosomal RNA (253 nucleotides) under uncultured bacterium. RNAcentral describes it as "partial 16S ribosomal RNA". It matches the Rfam family "Bacterial small subunit ribosomal RNA", at positions 524 to 776 of the family's 1533-position model. The record is from RNAcentral.